This 351-nucleotide transfer-messenger RNA is filed under the name Bacillota bacterium. It matches the Rfam family "transfer-messenger RNA". From Rfam's summary of the family: Bacterial tmRNA, also known as 10Sa RNA or SsrA, is named for its dual tRNA and mRNA-like properties. Its role is to liberate the mRNA from a stalled ribosome. The record is from RNAcentral. Lineage: Bacteria; Bacillati; Bacillota. RNAcentral also lists the same sequence under 1 other name.
GGGGGCGUAAAGGUUUCGACGGGGGUUGGAUGGGCCAGAGUAGCGGGUCCGGGACCAUGGCCCGGUAACAACAUGGAAGCGUUAUAAACGCCAACGACAAUUUAGCUUACGCUGCUUAAAUAAGCAGCCGUCCGCGUGUUCCGAGCCUGUAGGAGCAUACCGGGCGCCGACUAAUCAGGCUACCGCGCCUCACGGUUGGCAGAGCCAAAGGGGCCGGGAAUCACAACUGUGCUAGCCGUGCGGAUCCUGCCUUAUGGAGCCGCCCCGGCGAAGACAAAAUUAAGGCUACACCCGUAGAAGCUCUCGCUGGUCUACCUUCGGACAGGGGUUCGAUUCCCCUCGCCUCCACCA